GUUCCAGCUUCAGGAUAGAAUUAGGGGAAAAGAUGGUGACCACCGCACCCUCCAGUGAUCUCUGAUGAUAUGCGGGGAUAAUGGGUUACAAAGACAGACAUUAAUAAGAUGUUAGUUGUCCCUCUUUGGGUACUUCUCCUGCUGGCAAGCCUCUUCAAGUAGCUUCCUGUGGAGGCAAAGGGAGUACAGGAAGCUUCGGCAUCCAACCUGGGCUCUACACCCACCAGGUACUGUUAGGGAUUGCUGGAGUCAACUUGCCAAUAUAAAGGAGGGCUGUAUCUACUCGGCAGAGCAAGACUGGUGGAAAGCGACAAAGCAUCCAGCUCUCAGGAACUGGCCAACUCUAGACUUCUUAAUACAUCAGCUCUUCACCUCAGGUAUCCAUUCACACAUUUACGGAGGGCCUACUGUGUGCCAAGAAUGAGGGGUGCACUCCUGGCCAUUGAAGAGUAAAUAAUGCAAGAGAGGAGAAAGACUGGGGAGCAUCCAGGGAAGGAUCGAGAGUGUGGCCUUUUCAACAGCCCGUGGAUGGCAUGACUUCAAAAACAAAGACGAUCGAGCUUCGGGGGAGAAGAUUGCAGGCAAAAUUUGAUGAGUCACAUCUCCAUCAAGUUUGUUCCAAUAUUGUCCUUAGGCUACGACUGUCCAACGAGGGGAUUAUUCUUCAAUUUAUAGCCAUAAACACAGGGUCAUUUCAUGAUGUAUACACUGCAUUUUUUGCUUUAUCUAAAAAGACAUUUGUAGAAGAGGUAUUGUAGUUUCCACAAUCACAGGACAACCCCAUUCUGGGUGCAUGUGUACACACACACACACACACACACACACACACACACUACACACAGGAGCAUUCUGGAUUAUAUCUUAUAUUCUUUGGUUCCUGAGUAAGCAUCCUUCAUCACCAUCAUAGUCAUCAUCAUCACUGUUUUUCCAUCUAAAAACUAAGCAAAAAAACCUAAAACUAAAAUAAAACACUCCUAUGAGUUGCAUACUUGGACAUUGCUUAUAAGGCACAUUAAAGAGAAAAGGGGAUUGAAAUGCAAUGUGAAGCUUUUAUAUAUGUAGACAUCUUAUUUAUCGCAUAGUUUGUAAGGGGGAUAAGGAGCUGAACCAUGGAAUCAUUCUACUCACCUCUGGGUUUUUUCCACACUAGAACAUACUGACAUGAUUUGAAAUAGUUCAACUUUAACCUAUAGGCAAUAGCACGAAGACAAGCACCUAUAAAUCAAUGAUUAAAAUAGGUACACUUCGGCAUGUUCUAGUUUGGCUGAUUAGUCUUGCCUAUAAUAUCACAUCACCCCUGGUUUGGUUAUCCUCAGAAAAUACAUACAUAAAGGUGUAGAUGACUCAUGAAGGUCAUUUACAAAAUUGUUUUCACAGCUUUGUAGUCAGAACUAAGCCAUUUCCUAAAAUGUAAGUGAGCAGCCUGCAUUUCACAAUGCCUAGCUGUAGGUAUUAAGUCUAUAUAAAGAUAAAUGAUGGAUUUGUGACCAAGAGUACUUUCUAAUUAUAAAAAGUUCAAAUAAAAAAUAAUGGAAUGUGCCUAAUUUCUUUAUCAGCAACAAAGAAGUCAGAGACAACCAAAAUGACUGACUAUUAAUGCCUUAUCAUGGGAAUAAGUUUGCCAAUCUCAAGUGCUGCAGAGAGAACAUAAGGGAAUCGGCUGUAGAUGGGAGGAAUGUGCAACCAUUUUGAAGAACCAAUUUGGAACAUUCUAGAGAAAGCUGAAGAUUAACUUAUAAUUACAGUUUAUAAUUUUUUAAAAAAAUCACUCACUCUUUGACAUAUGACCUAGAAUGAAAUUUGCAUAACCAAGGAUACAUGUGUAAGUAUUUUUAUCAUUGUAUCUAAUAGCCCAAAUUGGAAAGAAUCUAGUCAUGUGUUUUUAUAAAGGAUUACCAAACAAUGGUGAGAGCAAAUAAACCAUAGUUACAUGUUAUCUACACUGGUGCAUUUUAUAGGCCUAAAGCUGCUUUUAAAAUGUAAAUUAUAGAGAGGGGUGCAUUGGCACAGACCUGUAAUCCCAGUGGCU
Long non-coding RNA from Ictidomys tridecemlineatus (thirteen-lined ground squirrel), 2029 nucleotides. RefSeq lists it as uncharacterized. NCBI's taxonomy places the organism in Eukaryota, Metazoa, Chordata, Mammalia, Rodentia, Sciuridae. The record is from RefSeq and is a predicted model, not a curated record.